Molecule: ribosomal RNA, 497 nt
Filed under: uncultured bacterium
Lineage: Bacteria
Description: partial 16S ribosomal RNA
Rfam family: Bacterial small subunit ribosomal RNA
Source: RNAcentral
GAUGAACGCUGGCGGCGUGCCUAAUACAUGCAAGUCGAGCGAACAGAUGAGGAGCUUGCUCCUCUGACGUUAGCGGCGGACGGGCGAGUAACACGUGGAUAACCUACCUAUAAGUCUGGGAUAACUUCGGGAAACCGGAGCUAAUACCGGAUAAUAUAUUGUACCGCAUGGUUCAAUAGUGAAAGACGGCUUUGCUGUCACUUAUAGAUGGAUCCGCGCCGCAUUAGCUAGUUGGUAAGGUAACGGCCUACCAAGGCAACGAUGCGUAGCCGACCUGAGAGGAUGAUCAGCCACACUGGAACUGAGACACGGUCCAGACUCCUACGGGAGGCAGCAGUAGGGAAUCUUGCGCAAUGGGCGAAAGCUUGACGGAGCCACGCCGCGUGAGUGAUGAAGGUCUUCGGGUCGUAAAGCUCUUUUAUUGGGGAAGAACAAAUGUGGAUGUAACUCUGCACGUCUUGACGGUACCUAAACAGUAAGCCCCGGCUAACUACGUG